CAGACAGUUACUGGAGCAGAGAUCUGAAACACCACAGACAGUUACUGGAGCAGAGAUCUGAAACACCACAGACAGUUACUGGAGCAGAGAUCUGUAACAACACAGACAGUUACUGGAGCAGAGAUCUGUAACAACACAGACAGUUACUGGAGCAGAGAUCUGAAACACCACAGACAGUUACUGGAGCAGAGAUCUGUAACAACACAGACAGUUACUGGAGCAGAGAUCUGAAACACCACAGACAGUUACUGGAGCAGAGAUCUGUAACACCACAGACAGUUACUGGAGCAGAGAUCUGAAACACCAGACAGUUACUGGAGCAGAGAUCUGUAACACCAGACAGUUACUGGAGCAGAGAUCUGAAACACCACAGACAGUUACUGGAGCAGAGAUCUGAAACACCACAGACAGUUACUGGAGCAGAGAUCUGAAAUACCACAGACAGUUACUGGAGCAGAGAUCUGAAACACCAGACAGUUACUGGAGCAGAGAUCUGAAACACCACAGACAGUUACUGGAGCAGAGAUCUGAAACACCACAGACAGUUACUGGAGCAGAGAUCUGAAACACCACAGACAGUUACUGGAGCAGAGAUCUGUAACACCACAGACAGUUACUGGAGCAGAGAUCUGAAACACCACAGACAGUUACUGGAGCAGAGAUCUGAAACAACACAGACAGUUACUGGAGCAGAGAUCUGUAACACCACAGACAGUUACUGGAGCAGAGAUCUGAAACACCACAGACAGUUACUGGAGCAGAGAUCUGAAACACCACAGACAGUUACUGGAGCAGAGAUCUGUAACACCACAGACAGUUACUGGAGCAGAGAUCUGAAACACCACAGACAGUUACUGGAGCAGAGAUCUGAAACACCACAGACAGUUACUGGAGCAGAGAUCUGAAACACCACAGACAGUUACUGGAGCAGAGAUCUGUAACAACACAGACAGUUACUGGAGCAGAGAUCUGAAACACCACAGACAGUUACUGGAGCAGAGAUCUGAAACACCACAGACAGUUACUGGAGCAGAGAUCUGUAACAACACAGACAGUUACUGGAGCAGAGAUCUGAAACACCACAGACAGUUACUGGAGCAGAGAUCUGUAACACCAGACAGUUACUGGAGCAGAGAUCUGUAUCGAUGUUUGGCCACUUUGUAAUGGAGUAGAUACUAUGGCCAGUGAAAUGGCAGCAGAGAGAAGCCAGUGUGCAUGGACAAUGUUCUCUCCGAGCUCAAGCUACGAGUCACUAACCAGCUUCCAUUGAAAUGAUUCUGUAUGUAACUGAUAUAAGUGUGAAACAGGUCUGAAGAACCUUUCGCCGUAACCAGGUGACCAGUGGCCGAGUUAACUAUGGCCGCUGUAAUGGUAUCAGAGAGAAGCUAGCGUAUAGAUCUAGCGUGAUGCAGACAUCUUGUGUUACUGGUAAUGCCUCGUGUUAAUUGUCCUUGGUAUUUGUUCCUGUAGUCGGGGGACGGAGGGCGCAGCAGACGAGCCUAACUUCUGUUGUUACGUCGCGCUCUCACUAAACCAACGAGUGUUGACAUCUUGAAAGGGGCACGGACACAAACCUGCAAACUAACGUUGGUGUUGGGAUAAUGUACAUGUAAUCUGACUCAUGACUCUGUACUAAAGGUUUCUCAGUAUAAAUGGCUUUUAAUUCCAUGACAGACUGACCAGAUGAAAGCUAUGAUCGCUUAUUGAUCUCGCUUGUUAAGUCAACUUCAAUCCGUGUAGAUGAAGGGGAGGAGACAGGUUGAAGAAGGAUUUUUAAGCCUUGAGACUUGAGCCUUGAGACAUGGAUUGUGUAUGUGUGCUAUUCAGAGGGUGAAUGGGCAAGACAACAGAUUGAAGUGCCUUUGAACAGGGUAUGGUAGUAGGAGCCAGGCGCACCAGUUUGUGUCAAGAACUGCAACGUUGCUGGGUUUACAUGUGUGUGUCAAGAAUGGUCCACCACCCAAAGGACAUCCAGCAAAUUUGACACAACUGUGGGAAGCAUUGGAGACAACAUGGGCCAGCAUCCCUGUGGAACGCUUUGGACACCUUGUAGAGUCCAUGUCCAGACGAAUUGAGGCUGUUCUGGGGGCAAAAGGGGUACAACUCAAUAUUAUUAACUUGCUCUUAAUGUUUUUUUAGAAGAGAGAGAGACCGGGCCGUUGGGAGGAGCAGAGAGAGAGAGAGACCGGGCCGUUGGGAGGAGGAGAGAGAGAAAGAGACCGGGCCGUUGGGAGGAGGAGAGAGAGAGAGAGACCGGGCCGUUGGGAGGAGGAGAGAGAGCGAGAGACCGGGCCGUUGGGAGGAGGAGAGAGAGCGAGAGACCGGGCCGUUGGGAGGAGGAGAGAGAGCGAGAGACCGGGCCGUUGGGAGGAGGAGAGAGAGAGAGAGACCGGGCCGAGGAGAGAGAGAGAGAGAGACCGGGCCGUUGGGAGGAGGAGAGAGAGACCGGGCCGUUGGGAGGAGGAGAGAGAGACCGGGCCGUUGGGAGGAGGAGAGAGAGAGAGAGAGACCGGGCCGUUGGGAGGAGGAGAGAGAGAGAGAGACCGGGCCAUUGGGAGGAGGAGAGAGAGACCGGGCCGUUGGGAGGAGAGAGAGAGAGAAACCGGGCCGUUGGGAGGAGCAGAGAGAGAGAGAGACCGGGCCGUUGGGAGGAGCAGAGAGAGAGAGAGACCGGGCCGUUGGGAGGAGCAGAGAGAGAGAGAGACCGGGCCGUUGGGAGGAGGAGAGAGCGUUAGGUAGCCUAGUGGUUAAGAGAGUUGGGCCAGUAAUUGAAAGGUCGCUGUUUGAAUCCCAGAGCCGGCGAGGUGGAAAAAUCUGCCAUUCUGCCCUUGAGCAAGGCAGUUAACCCCCAACAACAACUGUGCCCCGGGCGCCGAUGACGUGGAAAUCGAUUAAGGCAGCCGCCUGCACCUCUCUGAUUGAGGGGUUAACCGUGGAACACACAUUUCGGUUGAAUGCAUUCAGUUGUCUAACUGACGAGGUAUCCCAUCCUUAUCUGUCUGUCCAGAUACUGUAGUAUUACCCCAACCUGUCCAGAUACUGUAGUAUUACCUCAACCUGUCCAGAUACUGUAGUAUUACCUCAACC
Long non-coding RNA from Oncorhynchus tshawytscha (Chinook salmon), 3087 nucleotides. The record is from Ensembl. NCBI's taxonomy places the organism in Eukaryota, Metazoa, Chordata, Actinopteri, Salmoniformes, Salmonidae.